UCCCAUCGAUCCUACCCGCCGCCGCACCCUGGCCCCUCCGCCCCCGCCCCCGCCCCUUCCAGAUCCAGCGAGCCGCCCGCCUCAGCCUCGCCGGCGACCUUCCCCUCUCGCGGAGGAGGGCCACCCGCGUCCCGCUACGUCAAGCUCACCAAGGACCAGGACGCCCCCGGCGAGGACAUCCGCCCCGGCGAGCUCAACCAGCCCGUCCACGUCCCCCAGCUCGAGGGCCGGAGGUGCGGCGAGUGCAGCCAGGUCCUCCCGGAGAGCUACGAGCCGCCCGCCGACGAGCCGUGGUCCAACGGGAUCUUCGGCUGCACCGACGACCCCGAGAGCUGGGCACAAUGCUGGAGCUGGUAGGCAAGCUAGCACCCAUGGAUUCGUGAACUGGCUUGGAUGUGUACUUGGUCGCCGGGGUUGGAUGAGGACGACGGUAACGAGGGUGACUAGUGAUGCGGCACGCCAAGCAGCAUCAGGGGAAGGGGGUCUCCUGCUCGAGGAGGCGGAGGAGUAGGGGCGCACCCAGCCGGCAGCCCUGUCGUGCUUGAGGGGGAGGGGCAAGAGGGGUCUGCUCCUCUGCUUCCAUUGCGACCGCGGCAGGAGCAACGUUGCUGAUGGCGACGGGUACGUGAUGGUGGCUAGUGUGGUGGACGACCUAGAAUAUGUGUCCUCGCAAGUGCACAUGCACCCAAGAUGAUCUGCUUUACACUUACAAUUCGUGUUGACUAAAUCCGAGCAAGUCUCCUGCCAGUUCCACCAUAAGUAACACUCUGCAGAUUCAGCUGGGAGUGCAGGAAAAGAAGAAGAUACAAAUGGAGUACUCAGAAUGGUUUGACAGCUGCAAGAGACGCCCAGAUCGUUUUUGUAUGUUUCUCUAUGCUUCUGUACCUAAACAGUACAUCUGCUGUUGUUGUUGACCGUGCAGUCUAAGAAACAACACCCACUUAUUCUCAUCCUUUGUACCUGAUUGUGUAUGUGAGGUGAACAAAAGUCAUGCAUUUGACCAGAUUUAUUAUGUUCUUGUUCUGGUCGACCGUGAGGAGGUUCUUACUGUUCGCUGACUCUAUUCUGUUUUGGUGGUGAUAUAACCUGGUUAUGAGGAAAAUGCCUCACCGGAACGUGGAUGGAACUGACGGGAGGUGGAUCCCUGCUCACCGACGCCAACCUCAUCCAUAUCAUUGUUGACGCCAUCAUUAACUGAUAGUAUGCUGUGCUGGUGAAGUUUUUUCGUUGCUGGGAUCAUUUGAACCUGGAUGUCAUGUGUUGUGUGAUCUGAGCCAUAUGGCAUAUUGUAAACUUUUUAUUGCUGUUCUUUAUGUACGAUGUUAUGAGAUGUACGUUUGAAAUGCUGCUUUGACAGCAGAAUUGUAUUCGUGUGUACAUGCUGCUUUGACAGCAAAAUUAUGAAUAUUUCUCAACAAUAUAUGAGUUAAAUAUCUGUUUUCCAAUUUUC
Aegilops tauschii subsp. strangulata is the source of this 1450-nucleotide non-coding RNA. Lineage: Eukaryota; Viridiplantae; Streptophyta; Magnoliopsida; Poales; Poaceae. The record is from RefSeq and is a predicted model, not a curated record.